CGGCGACAUACGCCUUGGCGACGAACGCCACGCCGACCAACGGCUUCUCUUUACUCAUUGCGGGCACAUGCCCCACACCAAUAAUACAUGGAAGGGAGACUACACACCUGGAGACUUACUCCGGUGACUACUACUCUCGUCACUUAAACAUGCUGUCUGCGGUGCCAUUUAUAGGCUCAAACAACACGUACACACCAGCCAACACAAGCACACACACAAAGCUAGCUAACAACCUGAACUGGGUCUCACGCGACUCACGCACACGACCUGCUCCACUAACUAACUACCUUGACUAAUUCCUUCACGCGCCUGCCACUUCAACCACGCCCGCACGCGGCAACGACCAGCUAGCCCACUAAUCGGAUGCCCAAACGUCCACGGCUCCUAGCUGUCUACGUGAAGAACAAAGCCAAAACUAAAAUAGAUACAUGAGUCGAGAUUAACGGCUAACAAUUUCCCCCCUAAUCUUGACUCGGCUAGUCGCCGCCGUCGCCUUGAACGCCUGACGCCAUGGCACGCGCAUACGCGCCAAAGUACCUCCAUGAUCGCCGCUCCACGGCCGUUGCACCGCGCCGCUGCGCCACACCUCCAUGCCGCCACGACGUUGAGUGCACGCUGCACCACGCCGCGCCACACCACCGCGACGUGCCGCGCGACCGCGGCCUCUGAUCCGUGCUCGUCGCCCGCGACAUCACCGCGCACCGCCCACACGGACUCACCGCGCCCCACGGCCCCGAAACUUGAGGCUCUGAUACUAAUUGUUGGCGCAACCCUCUGGCGACACACGACGGGCAGCCCUCCGGCGAAACGAACACCGGACGACGGAAGCAGACGAACUCAACAAGAACUUGAGACACCAGUAUUUCAGGCGACAUACGCCUUGGCAACGAACGCCACGCCGAUGAACGGCUUCUCUUUACUCAUUGCGGGCACAUAGCCCACACCAAUAAUACAUGGAAGGGAGACUACACACCUGGAGACUUACUCCGGUGACUACUACUCUCGUCACUUAAACAUGAUGUCUACAGUGCCAUUUAUAGGAUCCAACAUCACGCACACACCGGCCAACACAUGCACACACACAAAGCUAGCUAACAACCUGGACUGGGUCUCACGCGACUCACGCACACGACCUGCUCCACUAACUAACUACCU
RNAcentral lists this long non-coding RNA (1155 nucleotides) under Brachypodium distachyon (stiff brome). RNAcentral's name for it is "long non-coding RNA (BDIS_LNC005648)". Lineage: Eukaryota; Viridiplantae; Streptophyta; Magnoliopsida; Poales; Poaceae. The record is from RNAcentral.